UUAAAGAACAAACCGUGAGAGAGAAGGGAGGAAGAAGAAGAAGAAGAGAAAAGAGGGGAAAAUAAGGGAAAAAGAAAAGGAGUUGGAGGAAAUAAGCUUAAAGAUAAUCCUGAUAUUCUACCGGCGGGACGUCAGUAGGAUUUUCUUCGAUAUCAGCUUUGAGUUUUGUUGCUUUCAAGUCAGGUGAGUGGAUAAUUUUCCAUAUGCAUGAGAAAUAGUAUAAAUAUUUGAUUUGUUAAUAUGAAUUGAAUCAUGCUUCUUGAUAAUAUAUAUGUUGAUUAUUAUCCUUGUUAUGAUAAAGCAUGAUCAAUUAUUGAA
This is a long non-coding RNA of Populus nigra (black poplar), 318 nucleotides long. RefSeq lists it as uncharacterized. The transcript is spliced from 2 exons. Lineage: Eukaryota; Viridiplantae; Streptophyta; Magnoliopsida; Malpighiales; Salicaceae. The record is from RefSeq and is a predicted model, not a curated record.